Molecule: non-coding RNA, 560 nt
Organism: Salmo salar (Atlantic salmon)
Lineage: Eukaryota; Metazoa; Chordata; Actinopteri; Salmoniformes; Salmonidae
Source: RefSeq, a predicted model, not a curated record
ACAGGAAAAUAAUGCGCAACAGAUUACACGCACAUUCGUGAAGCGGCCUUAUUCUGUCCCUCCGCUGGGGAUAGACAUGUUCCUGAGCGAACAUAGCGAAUAACUUUGAAAUGCUGAAGCACAUCCCCCCAUCACCCAGACAGAUGUAAUGAAGUUGGGAACCUCCCGUCCAACAGGAACAUCCCCCUAUCUCAGGAGAAUAGACAAAAGACCCCAUGGUGGUGGGCGUGGUCGUGUGCUGACCGACCAGUAGGAGUGGGCCGUGGAGGAAAUGGUGAGGGCCAGGGAAUGACAUACGGCUGUCUGAAAUAAAGCAGGCCAUUGAGGAGAACGAUGACGCCUUUGCCAAUGUGAUAUCCAUCAGCCUACCAUCAAUCACCCUGCUUUUAGAAGAGUCACCAGGUGUUUAUGAAACACAUUUACCUGGUGCCUUUUGAGAGAAACAACGACCAGGUGAAACAACUACAGGCUGAGUUUUGUUCAGGUACAGAACUAUAUACUGUUUUACUGUACAGCACUAUAUACUGUUUUACUGUACAGUACUAAUAUACUGUUUUACU